AGAGUUUGAUCCUGGCUCAGGAUGAACGCUGGCGGCAUGUCUAAGGCAUGCAAGUCUUAGGGUAGUAGCAAUACUGCCCUGGCAAACGGGUGAGUAACACAUUGGUAACUUGCCUCCGUCUCGGGCAUAACCCUGCGAAAGCGGGGACAAUUCCCGAUAGUCAUCCCGCAGUUAUGCGGGAUGUAAAGUUCCGACGGACGGAGAGAGGCCUAUGGCCCAUCAGCUAGUUGGUAGGGUAAUGGCCUACCAAGGCUAUGACGGGUAGCGGGUGUGAGAGCAUGACCCGCCUCACUGGGACUGAGACACUGCCCAGACUCCUACGGGAGGCUGCAGUCGAGAAUCUUCCUCAAUGGCCGAAAGGCUGAAGGAGCAAUGCCGCGUGAUCGAAGAAGCCCCUCGGGGUGUAAAGAUCUUUUAUCAGGGACGAAUUUGUGACGGUACCUGAUGAAUAAGCCACUGCUAACUUCGUGCCAGCAGCAGCGGUAAUACGAAGGUGGCAAGCGUUAUCCGGAUUAAUUGGGCGUAAAGCGUCCGCAGACGGUUUGAUGCGUCGUGGGUUAAAUCUGAAGGCUCAACCUUCAGGCUGCUCACGAAACGGUCAUUCUUGAGAUCGGAAGAGGUGAGCGGAAUUAUCGGUGUAGCGGUAAAAUGCGUUAAUAUCGAUAAGAACACCAAAUGCGAAGGCAGCUCACUGGUACGAUUCUGACGUUAAGGGACGAAAGCGUGGGGAGCGAAUGGGAUUAGAUACCCCAGUAGUCCACGCCGUAAACGAUGGGUACUGAGCAUUGGGAGUAUCGACCCUCCCAGUGUUGUUCUAAUUAAGCUAACGCCUUAAGUACCCCGCCUGGGAAGUACGGUCGCAAGACUAAAACUCAAAGGAAUUGACGGGAGCCCGCACAAGCGGUGGAGCAUGUGGUUCAAUUCGACGGUAAGCGAGGAACCUUACCAAGGCUUGACAUCCCUGGAAUCCCGCGGAAACGUGGGAGUGCCGCAAGGAACCAGGAGACAGGCGCUGCAUGGUUGUCGUCAGCUCGUGUCGUGAGAUGUUGGGUUAAGUCCUCUAACGAGCGCAACCCUCGUCCUAUGUUAAAUAUUCGUAGGAGACUGCCUGGGUUUAACCAGGAGGAAGGUGGGGAUGACGUCAAAUCAGCAUGGCCCUUACGCCUUGGGCUACACACGUGCUACAAUGGCCGGAACAAUGGGUCGCCAAGCGGUAACGCGGAGCUAAUCCCAUCAACACCGGCCCCAGUUCGGAUUGAGGGCUGCAAUUCGCCCUCAUGAAGUCGGAAUCGCUAGUAAACGCCAAUCAGCCACGUGGCGUUGAAUACGUUCUCGGGCUUUGUACACACCGCCCGUCACACCAAGAGAGUCGAUAGUACCCGAAAGCUGACUUUGGUCGGACUAAGGUAAGAUCGAUGAUAGGGGUGAAGUCGUAACAAGGCA
RNAcentral lists this ribosomal RNA (1443 nucleotides) under metagenome. RNAcentral's name for it is "bacterial SSU rRNA". It matches the Rfam family "Bacterial small subunit ribosomal RNA". The record is from RNAcentral.